GACGAACGCUGGCGGCGUGCCUAAUACAUGCAAGUAGGACGCACAGUCUAUACCGUAGCUUGCUACACCAUAGGCUGUGAGUUGCGAACGGGUGAGUAACGCGUAGGUAACCUGCCUAUUAGAGGGGGAUAACUAUUGGAAACGAUAGCUAAUACCGCAUAACAGUAUGUAACACAUGUUAGAUGCUUGAAAGAUGCAAUUGCAUCGCUAGUAGAUGGACCUGCGUUGUAUUAGCUAGUAGGUAGGGUAAAGGCCUACCUAGGCAACGAUACAUAGCCGACCUGAGAGGGUGAUCGGCCACACUGGGACUGAGACACGGCCCAGACUCCUACGGGAGGCAGCAGUAGGGAAUCUUCGGCAAUGGGGGGAACCCUGACCGAGCAACGCCGCGUGAGUGAAGAAGGUUUUCGGAUCGUAAAGCUCUGUUGUUAAGGAAGAACGAGUGUGAGAAUGGAAAGUUCAUGCUGUGACUGUACUAACCAGAAAGGAC
RNAcentral lists this ribosomal RNA (490 nucleotides) under Streptococcus anginosus. RNAcentral describes it as "bacterial SSU rRNA". It matches the Rfam family "Bacterial small subunit ribosomal RNA", at positions 28 to 493 of the family's 1533-position model. Lineage: Bacteria; Bacillati; Bacillota; Bacilli; Lactobacillales; Streptococcaceae. The record is from RNAcentral.